Molecule: long non-coding RNA, 317 nt
Filed under: Brassica napus (rape)
Lineage: Eukaryota; Viridiplantae; Streptophyta; Magnoliopsida; Brassicales; Brassicaceae
Description: long non-coding RNA (BNAP_LNC006342)
Source: RNAcentral
UGACGGAGUCCCGGUGGAUGGGAAGCCACUGGUUGGUGUCCCGGUGGUUGGUGUCCCAGUGCUUGGGGUUCCUGUGGUUGGUGUUCCAGUGCUUGGGGUUCCUGUGGUAGGUGUCCCAGUGGACGGGGUCCCACUAGAGCUGCAAAAGUAGUCAAAAACUUCAGUGAUUAUUUGUCGGAAGAUAAUUUGAAUGGUUUAUUAAAAGAUUAACUGGUAAUACACAUCUGGAUCAUGUGAAUGAUUGUUUGUUUUUUUUAUAUGCUUUUUGAAUUUUAGUAAAGGUGAAAUGAACAGAAAUGAAUGUUCGUUUGGUCUUA